This 329-nucleotide long non-coding RNA is filed under the name Ananas comosus (pineapple). RNAcentral describes it as "long non-coding RNA (ACOM_LNC043951)". Lineage: Eukaryota; Viridiplantae; Streptophyta; Magnoliopsida; Poales; Bromeliaceae. The record is from RNAcentral.
GUUGAUCUGGGAGGGGUCAUUAAUGGCAAAACGGUAAUUUUGUGAAAAGCACAACAUUUUAUGUACCGUUUUGUGUGAAAUCGAAUGUGGAGGUGUAUUUGCGCAUUUUACUUGCGUGGUGAGGGACUCAGAUUAAAAUAUUCGAGUUUGGUGGACUUAUACACAAUUAGUUGAUCCCUCGGCCACCCCUCCUCCCUCACCUCGUGUGCAGCGCGCCUUCCGGCGGCUGCCGAUCGAACUCCGGUCAGCCACCACCUCCUCAGCCCCUUUUCUCCCUUUCCCUCUCUUAUUUUCCACCAUCUUCUCUACCAAGCUUGAACCCGAGCUUA